This 253-nucleotide unclassified non-coding RNA is filed under the name uncultured Actinomycetes bacterium. Its description in RNAcentral is "uncultured actinobacterium contains 16S-23S intergenic spacer region". It matches the Rfam family "Bacterial small subunit ribosomal RNA", at positions 524 to 776 of the family's 1533-position model. The record is from RNAcentral. Lineage: Bacteria; Bacillati; Actinomycetota; Actinomycetes.
UACGUAGGGUGCGAGCGUUGUCCGGAAUUAUUGGGCAUAAAGAGCUCGUAGGCGGUCUGUCGCGUCGGAUGUGAAAGCCCGGGGCUUAACCCCGGGGCGUCAUUGGAUACGGGCAGACUUGAGUGUGGUAGGGGAGAUCGGAAUUCCUGGUGUAGCGGUGAAAUGCGCAGAUAUCAGGAGGAACACCGGUGGCGAAGGCGGAUCUCUGGGCCAUUACUGACGCUGAGGAGCGAAAGCGUGGGGAGCGAACAGG